Molecule: RNA transcript, 5974 nt
Organism: Homo sapiens (human)
Lineage: Eukaryota; Metazoa; Chordata; Mammalia; Primates; Hominidae
Gene: SEPTIN8
Gene name: septin 8
Exons: 10
Source: RefSeq, marked reviewed
AUUCAGCCGCAGCCGCCCGGGCGGAGCGCGUCCCGCAGCCGGCUGGUCCCUGUCGCUGCCCCUGCGCUCGUCCCAGCCCACCCGCCCGGUGCGGAGCUCGCCAUGGCGGCCACCGACCUGGAGCGCUUCUCGAAUGCAGAGCCAGAGCCCCGGAGCCUCUCCCUGGGCGGCCAUGUGGGUUUCGACAGCCUCCCCGACCAGCUGGUCAGCAAGUCGGUCACUCAGGGCUUCAGCUUCAACAUCCUCUGUGUGGGGGAGACCGGCAUUGGCAAAUCCACACUGAUGAACACACUCUUCAACACGACCUUCGAGACUGAGGAAGCCAGUCACCAUGAGGCAUGCGUGCGCCUGCGGCCCCAGACCUAUGACCUCCAGGAGAGCAACGUGCAGCUCAAGCUGACCAUUGUGGAUGCCGUGGGCUUUGGGGAUCAGAUCAAUAAGGAUGAGAGUUACAGGCCCAUAGUUGACUACAUCGAUGCGCAGUUUGAAAAUUAUCUGCAGGAGGAGCUGAAGAUCCGCCGCUCGCUCUUCGACUACCAUGACACAAGGAUCCACGUUUGCCUCUACUUCAUCACGCCCACAGGGCACUCCCUGAAGUCUCUAGAUCUAGUGACCAUGAAGAAACUAGACAGCAAGGUGAACAUUAUUCCCAUCAUCGCCAAGGCUGACACCAUCUCCAAGAGCGAGCUCCACAAGUUCAAGAUCAAGAUCAUGGGCGAGUUGGUCAGCAACGGGGUCCAGAUCUACCAGUUCCCCACGGAUGAUGAGGCUGUUGCAGAGAUUAACGCAGUCAUGAAUGCACAUCUGCCCUUUGCCGUGGUGGGCAGCACCGAGGAGGUGAAGGUGGGGAACAAGCUGGUCCGAGCACGGCAGUACCCCUGGGGAGUGGUGCAGGUGGAGAAUGAGAAUCACUGCGACUUCGUGAAGCUGCGGGAGAUGUUGAUCCGGGUGAACAUGGAAGACCUCCGCGAGCAGACCCACAGCCGGCACUACGAGCUCUACCGGCGCUGCAAGUUGGAGGAGAUGGGCUUUCAGGACAGCGAUGGUGACAGCCAGCCCUUCAGCCUACAAGAGACAUACGAGGCCAAGAGGAAGGAGUUCCUAAGUGAGCUGCAGAGGAAGGAGGAAGAGAUGAGGCAGAUGUUUGUCAACAAAGUGAAGGAGACAGAGCUGGAGCUGAAGGAGAAGGAAAGGGAGCUCCAUGAGAAGUUUGAGCACCUGAAGCGGGUCCACCAGGAGGAGAAGCGCAAGGUGGAGGAAAAGCGCCGGGAACUGGAGGAGGAGACCAACGCCUUCAAUCGCCGGAAGGCUGCGGUGGAGGCCCUGCAGUCGCAGGCCUUGCACGCCACCUCGCAGCAGCCCCUGAGGAAGGACAAGGACAAGAAGAAGUAGGUGGCAGGCUGCGCCUGCGCUGGCUCCUCUUGCUCCUGUGGGCUCUUGCUUUCGUUCUUGUCCCUCACCUCCCUUCUCGCUCUCCUGCUCGCCCUCUCUUACCCCUUUCCUGUUUGGUUUUCCCUCAUCUUCAGUGGCUCUCCCCCCAGCUUUCUUGGUUGCCUUUUUCUUUCACUAGUGAUCCAGUGUCUCGCCGUCUGGAUUGCUCUGAUACUCAUGCAGUCUCACUUGCACAGGCAAUCUUGUGCUCCCCCUCCCUCUCCCUUCUCCCUUUUUCUCUCCUUCUCUUCCCCCUUCUUCCUCUUCCUCCAACUUUCUUGCUCACCCAUUCGCUCUCCCAUAGCCCCCUUGGCAGCUGUGGCCCUGUUGCAGCGUGGUGAAGGUGGGGCUGCACGGGUGAGGAGCAGCGUGGAGAGGGCGAAGCUGCAGGGCUCUGGGAAUGCUGGGAAUGGUCUUUCAGGCCAGGGGCGGGACAGGACCUGGGAAUGUCAGCAUCUCCAGCCAGAUUCCAAAAGCCGUGGUGGUUUCUGCUUGGACACCUGUGGCGCAUCCCUCCUCAGUCUGUGGGGCAGUGGUGUGGAGCCCGUAUUGGCUGGCAGGUGGUGAUGGAGAACUGCGGGCACUCGCGCCAGCCAACACUGGCCUCCUGGAGACUGGUCACCACACAGCUGUUCUGAAGGGCCCGCAGGGCUUAAGGGAGGAAAGCGGCUUCCCACAGGGGCUCUGUGGGUUCUUUUGGGGAGAAGAGCUGCCCCUCAAGUAGAGGCUGGAGUUGUUCCUGCAGAGUGGAGAGAGGAGAGAAAGACUGGAUGGCAGGGAGGCCUUUCCCAGCACCAGGAGUGCAGUCAACGGAGUAGUCAGGAACUAAGCAGGUGAACCCAACCUGGCCGUCAUUCUCGGGAUCCAUUUCCUCCUGGGAUAUUUGGGGAUGUGUAUGCCCAGGCCCUUCCUUCCUUGGUGGCAAUGGAGCCUAGCCAUUAGGGCCAGCGGGAGUCUGUGACCCAGGUACUGGCACCCAAAGUGACUUUGCCCUGCUUCCUGCCAUCUUGUUAAAGAAAAGGUAGCCAGGAUUCCCUAGGAAAUAAGCUGUGGAGAAACCACUCAGCAACUGCAGACAGGGGUCUGUGGCCAGUUCAGGGUCUGAGGGCCAGUGAAGGUGGGUGCAGGCAGGCUGAAAGGACACCAGCACAGCCCUCGGGGUGGGGGCUUGUCACUGGUGUCUGGUCUCCCUGCUUUUCCCAUGUGGCCUGGGCUCCAUGAUACGUUCUCCAGGCCUGGGCCUGGAAAACAGGUCUUUCCUGUUCUCUGGACCUGCUAGAAAGCUUCAGUCAGUUUGGUCCCUGGGAGAGAAAACGCUCUUCCCAUGACGGCUCUGUGGAGGCCAGGAAUGGGGUAGGUGGGUUGACUGGGAGUACUCCUUCCUGCCGCCCUGGUCAAGGGACUAGUGUGAGUCGGGAGUGCAUUUUUGGAAUGGGGGCAGGGGUGUUUUUCAUGACCAUUUAUUUGAGUGGUUUUGAUUGGUUAUGCAUACUCUUUAAAUUUGAAUCCAAAUUUUUUGCAAAAUUACUUCCCAAUCAGAUCUUGACCCUUAGCCUGGGACACCACAAACUGAGGUGAAUUCUCUGCUUUGCUCGUCACAAAUGCCAAACUGACUGCCCUUUCACGGUGUCCAUCUUGCUGUCUUUUGCUUCUGUUUGAUUUGGUCUGCAUAUCUUUUAAUGUGUCUGUUUUUGUUUUGUUUGUUUUAUUUUUAUUUUUCAGUUAACGCACGCACAGACUUACAUGUCAAGAGUGGACUUUAGACUUUCAUGUGUUAAGUUGCUUGAGUUACACCUUGUGACCCUUCUCCCAUAACAUGGUGUGAGGACGGACUGGGAGCCGGUACAGACUCCAGUGUUUACAGCCUUGCUUUCCUCCCACCGACCCUGGCCCCAGGCUGCCCCGGGCCUGGCGGGCCACCCCUCUCUAUGCAAACACGUAAAAGCCAUGAAUGCUGGAAUCCAAAACUGACGAGGUUUAUUUUUUUCAGAGCCAGUGGCUGGUCUUCCAUUUACAGUGUCACUAUUCCCUGACGGAGCUGUUAUGUGCCGCUCUAGCGAAGGCCCCAGCCGGGAUGCUAGGCCUAAUUGUUCAGCGUGGAGAUGGCAACUCACGUGGUGCCCUAGGUGCAGCUGCGUGGUCUGGUAUACAUGCUGCAAAAUUCACCCAGUUCCCCUCAUUUUAAUUUUUCUAACCUACAGCUUAAUUUUAAUAACUUUAAAACACUUCUAAAUAUUUAUUUUGGCACCAGCGUCAAGACAAAUAAUAUCCUCUCCCAUUAUUUUCAUAAGUAACACAGAUUCCCUGAUUUUUAAAAACUAAAAAUACAGCUAAACCUUUCUUAUGUAUAAAGUAUGCCUAUCAUAUACAGGGAGAGGUGGGUAAUAAACUUCCUGUAAUGACAGUGUUUGGCAUUUCUUUAUGGAUGGAAUUGGAACAUGAACAAGACCAUGUCCAGCGUUUUUACUGUGAAUGUAAAUGGAACAGCAGCCCAAAGCUGUUGUCUGUGCCCCAGAGGUGCUACCUGUAGACAGGGACCAACUCCAUGUGUGUGUGUUAAGUGUUUGACUCCAAUUAAGACUCCCAAGCAAAUCCUGCAUAUUCCAAAUGUAAAGAGUACUCAGUGGGAAAAAGGUUGUUACCUCAAAGUCAUUGCUUCUUUCCUGGCUGGGUCACAGGGUGAAGAGAUGAAGGUGUCUGAUGUAUAUAGACAAUUAGGGAAAAAUGAGCGGCAAAGGAGCUUUCCCCUUCAGCUGCACUCUAAAGGGGAACAUUUUAAGGAAGUACUAGCAGCUUUGACUCUUCUAUGCUCCUGUUGGUUUACAAGCCACCAAGAAUGUCAGUGUUGAGAAUACGGCCUGGUAAAAUGGGAGAUGUAAAAUGACUAAAUGAAAGGAAGGGUAGUUUUAAUGUUGAAGCACCGUGCUGGGCACUGGAGCUACCCAGAGGAAUGCACAACGCUCCCCUCAAGGAGCUCACAGUCUAGCCUACUCCCUGGCUGGAAGCCUCAGGAAGACGUGCUAAUUUAUUGUGGAAUUGGUAGUUUGCUUUUCAUGCCCCUGUCUUCCUUCUCAUGACCAUUUCCCCCUUUCUGUCUGGCUUGCAUUAUUGAUUUCCAGGACCAAGUCCUGGCUUCCUCCUGCCUUCCUGAGAUGAUGUUCUGCUCAGGGAGAAGUGGAGGGGUGAGCUGUGUGUGUCCACCGAGGCACGGCCAGGAAGAGGCAGCCUUUACCUGUGAGGGGCUCCAUGCUCCAGCAGCAGAGCAGGUUCUAGUGACAAUUCAACUUUUUAUGCUAUGACCAGGGGUGGAUCUAAAUUUUAUGGGGCUGAAAGCUUGAAUUAUUUAGAAAGACUUCUUUAAGAAAAACAAUGUUAAUAUAAAAUUAGGUACAGGGUCUUGGAAGGGGCCCUGAAGAUUAAGCUUCCUUAGCGUCACAAUAAGUCCGUAUCUGGUUGCAAUUGAAAACUGAUGCUUCAGUGAGGGUAUCUAAAAAGGUAAACUGGCAUAUCCAGGGCAAAUGUGGGCUGCCAAUGGCUCAUCUCUAGGGUAAUUUUAUGUCUGAAAGUGUAUGCAGUUGGGUCAGAGCAUGACCUUUAAGAUAGCCUCUCUCAGCUAACAUAUUUAUGAAGAUGAGGCCUGGUGACCCAGCAGGUUCAUUGGAUACAUAAGAAAUGAGAAUUCCUGGUUCAUGGGCCAACCUAGGACUCUGGAGUAUGCAGACUUGGCCAUUCGUCCAUUGUGGCCUGCGGGUCGCACCCCAGGCAUACUGAAAGGCCAUACUCGUGGCUGGCUGCCUGCGGGCCUAAGCCUUCCCAGGAUCUUCAGGACACUUGACAGACUUGUGUUUUCUGGUCUGAGCUGCCUCCACAGGUCCCUCCAGCAAGCCUCACUGCACCUCUCCCCUGCUGUUUGUGUUUGGAAUUUUGUCUUCUUUAGCUGAGACCAAAUUAAACCUUGGUGCAUAAAGUGAGCUUAAAACUUGCCACUGUUUAGUAAGUUAGCCCCCAUAGAAUGUGACCCUGUCUGCAGAGUCUCAUUUACCCCUCUUUUUCUCAUUGUCAUUUGUUGGCUUUAUUAGGGCUGUCUUACAGGAUCAUGUUGGCAUUUACUAUCAUGUCUUUAUCAUAAACCAUGUUUGUUUGAGGUAGAAGAAUCACCAUAUAAUUCGUUGCCCAAAUUGGGACUAUUGAGAGAGAAAGGGGAUGCUAUUAAUUACACCAGAUCAAAAGGCAUAAACCAGACCUGUCCCAGGCCGAUGUGGAAAUAUGUUCUUUCUAGUUGUGGGUACCCUGAUCUAGGUGGUUUGUAAUUGUGCAUUACUGACUGCAUAUGUUUGUGUAUGUGUAAAUGUGGGCUCCCUGUUAAGUGGGGCUCAUGGAUACGAGGCCUGAGGAAGUGUGGCUUGCUAGUCUGUUACGUUAACAUGCUUUUCUAAAAUUGCUUCACGUGUUAAUUCAUUUACUCCUGCAUUCAUUGACUGUUUUUGUUCUUUUCCAUUCACUUUGUACUUAUUUUUUUCAUUAAAUUUUGCAUUUAUUUUGA